UGCAAUUCCACUGGGUUUUACAUAUGUCAUUGAUCAAGACCCAUUUCCAUAUUAUUGUUAAUUGCACUAGAGUGAUCAUUUAGAGUCUACAUCCCCAAUCAUAUCCCCAUCAACCCAUGUGAUCAAGCAGUUGUUUUUCUUCUGUGUUUCUGCUCCCACAGUUCUUUCUCUGAAUGUGGAUGGUGUUCUUUCUCAUAAGUCCCUAUGAAUUGCCACAAAGAUUCUUGAAACUGUCAUGAAGAGUUAUGAACAAGAGUCAUCAAAGUUCAGUGGCAAGAAAAAAGUCAAGACUACUGAUGAUGGCCAGGAGGCAGUGGAUGACCUUGGCAUCUUUGAUGUCUGACGAAGCUCUAAGCUUUCUCCAAUGUCUAUUUCAGCUACCUUCAUGGCCACUGGCACGCAUUGUUUUCAUUUAUCCAUUCUGCCAGGGGAAGUCUUCAUGCGCUUGUGGUAGACUUUCCACCAACUCACUGACGGAUUUGAGAGCUGCUGGCUUCCCUCAACUUCGUUUAGUCCAUCCACUGAGAUGGUUUUACUGGGGAGGAAAUGCUGAUUCUACUGCCUGCUGCAAAAUACACAUGAUGUUCUCCUUUGACUGCUUCCUGAUACCCCAGCUGCUGGCUGCAAACCUCUGCAGCCUGCUUGCCGUUUUCUAUGCAUGCUUGCCGUACCAAGUUCUCCAGAAGGGGUAAGUGGAGAGAGGGAAACGCCAGUUACUAAGACAAGGAAGGGUGCCUAGGCUGAGACGCUAACUUGUGUGGAAACCCAGCAUUCCUUCUGGACAACAACCAUCAGGUCCCAGCCAGGAAAGCGCUUGGAGUCCACCCUGUUUCCAAGUUUCUAAGUGCCCUGGAGGGUGUGCAAAUAGAAAUGGGAUACACCUGAACUACAUUUGCCCAGCAUCCUUUUAAGUUACGUCCUCACUUUGCAUCCUGACAUUUGGGAGAGAAAGUUUGCUGAAACCCACGCUGCGGAGCUUUCUGGGUUUUUGCUUUGGUAAAGCGCUGCAGGUGAGAGUCUGGCUCUGUGCUCUACUCACUCGGCAGAAGGAACACCGUUCUCUCUCUCUCUUUGUUGUUAUUAAAUCCUAUA
Molecule: long non-coding RNA, 1092 nt
Filed under: Monodelphis domestica (gray short-tailed opossum)
Lineage: Eukaryota; Metazoa; Chordata; Mammalia; Didelphimorphia; Didelphidae
Description: lncRNA (ENSMODG00000034974.2)
Source: RNAcentral